Long non-coding RNA from Cornus florida, 958 nucleotides. RefSeq lists it as uncharacterized. Lineage: Eukaryota; Viridiplantae; Streptophyta; Magnoliopsida; Cornales; Cornaceae. The record is from RefSeq and is a predicted model, not a curated record. The transcript has 4 exons.
GCAAUUCAUUUCAGCCUCCCAAUUAAUCGCCUCAUCUCUGCUACUUUCGUUCUCCUCAUUUCAGCCACCCAAAUUGCCUUCAUCUCUACUCUCGUUCUCUGCUCUGAAGUUGCCCUCUCUCUGUCUCUGCAACUGUAAACUAAAAAAUCUACAAGAACCAGAACCCAUAUCGACACAUCAUAUAUUAUUGUUCAAAAUCAAAACCCACCUUCAGUUUCCAAAUCCCGCUGUUCCAGUUCAAUUGGGUUCGCCGUUCGCAAGCUUCAGCGUCUCUCCCGCUGUCUCUCAACUCUCAAGCCGUCUCUUUGCAGCUGCGAACUUGAUCUCCCUUUGCAGGAUUUGAAAGACUAAUUGGUAAAUUUGGGUUGAAUGUGAGUCUUGAACAAGCUGAAGGCCCUUAUACUGAGUGCUAACAACCAGUCCUCUCCCAUUGCUUCACAUCAAGUCUCUCCUCCUGAAGAUUUGGUUGGCAAGUCUUGUGAGCUAUUGCAUUUUCAUGGGACAAAAACCGUUGUCGCCAAGGGUAUGAUUGAUUCAGUGGAUCUAGAUUCUCUCAUAGGUUCUGCUUCACUUGGUUCUGACUGUUGGAGAGUGUGGAUCACUGAUCUCAUUGAUUCAAGUGUGCCUUUAUAUAGGCCUGAAAUUCGUGGCUUUGAUUUGAAAGACGCAUAUGUUACAGGAUUUUCAAUUGCAUGGCCUAUCAAGUACAUCAAAAUUUGUCAAAGUUAGGAUUGCGGGUUGCAGUUCCUUUUUUUGUUGCCGCUAUAUUUUUUGUAUGGUUCGAAGAAGAAGUUGCAAGAAUGAUAUGAAGAAUUUUUGUUUUAUUUUGGUGUAAGUAAAUAUAUAAGGUGUGGAUCAUGUACUUUUUUUAAAUUUGUAUAUGGUUAAUUUUUGUAAAAAACAAUGAUUUGGAAUUGGUUAUAUAUAUAUAUGUAUGAGUUGUAAAUUAUUUUGGUUA